GGUUGUGUAGUGUAGUGGUUAUCACUUUGGUUUUUGAAGUAGUUCGUCUACCAAUAACCCCAGUUCGAACCUGGGCACGACCU
Molecule: non-coding RNA, 83 nt
Organism: Bombardia bombarda
Lineage: Eukaryota; Fungi; Ascomycota; Sordariomycetes; Sordariales; Lasiosphaeriaceae
Source: the annotation of a GenBank genome assembly